Molecule: ribosomal RNA, 551 nt
Filed under: uncultured Sordariales
Lineage: Eukaryota; Fungi; Ascomycota; Sordariomycetes; Sordariales
Description: eukaryotic LSU rRNA
Rfam family: 5.8S ribosomal RNA (bases 162-315)
Source: RNAcentral
CUGUGACAGCGGAGGGAUCAUUACAGAGUUGCAAGGCUCCCAACCAUUGUGAACGAACCCGUUAUAGCUGUUUCGGCGGGUGGUGCGCUGAAACUGCCCGCCGGCAGCAUGCUAAACUCUAGAUUACAGUGGAUCUCUGAGUAGCUUAUUCAAUAAGUUAAAACUUUCAACAACGGAUCUCUUGGUUCUGGCAUCGAUGAAGAACGCAGCGAAAUGCGAUAAGUAAUGUGAAUUGCAGAAUUCAGUGAAUCAUCGAAUCUUUGAACGCACAUUGCGCCCGCUGGUAUUCCGGCGGGCAUGCCUGUUCGAGCGUCAUUUCAACCCUCAAGCUCUCCGGAGUUUGGUGUUGGGGCGCCUGGGGCUUUUCGACCUCAGGGCCCUCAAGUCCAUCGGCGGGACCGCCAGGACACUGAGCGCAGUAGUAUUAUUUCGCUCGGUAGGAUCUUCCACGGCGGGUCGAUCUGGCCGCUAAACCCCCCAAUUCUCACCAAAGGUUGACCUCGGAUCAGGUAGGAAUACCCGCUGAACUUAAGCAUAUCAAUAAGCGGAGG